AGGGGGGUGCUAUACAUGCAAGUCGAGCGGACCGACGGGAGCUUGCUCCCUUAGGUCAGCGGCGGACGGGUGAGUAACACGUGGGUAACCUGCCUGUAAGACUGGGAUAACUCCGGGAAACCGGGGCUAAUACCGGAUGCUUGAUUGAACCGCAUGGUUCAAUCAUAAAAGGUGGCUUUUAGCUACCACUUACAGAUGGACCCGCGGCGCAUUAACUAGUUGGUGAGGUAACGGCUCACCAAGGCGACGAUGCGUAACCGACCUGAGAGGGUGAUCGGCCACACUGGGACUGAAACACGGCCCAGACUCCUACGGGAGGCAGCAGUAGGGAAUCUUCCGCAAUGGACGAAAGUCUGACGGAACAACGCCGCGUGAGUGAUGAAGGUUUUCGGAUCGUAAAACUCUGUUGUUAGGGAAGAACAAGUACCGUUCGAAUAGGGCGGUACCUUGACGGUACCUAACCAGAAAGCCACGGCUAACUACGUGCCAGCAGCCGCGGUAAUACGUAAGUGGCAAGCGUUGUCCGGAAUUAUUGGGCGUAAAGCGCGCGCAGGCGGUUUCUUAAGUCUGAUGUGAAAGCCCCCGGCUCAACCGGGGAAGGUCAUUGGAAACUGGGGAACUUGAGUGCAGAAGAGGAGAGUGGAAUUCCACGUGUAGCGGUGAAAUGCGUAGAGAUGUGGAGGAACACCAGUGGCGAAAGCGACUCUCUGGUCUGUAACUGACGCUGACGCGCGAAAGCGUGGGGAGCGAACAGGAUUAGAUACCCUGGUAGUCCACGCCGUAAACGAUGAGUGCUAAGUGUUAGAGGGUUUCCGCCCUUUAGUGCUGCAGCAACGCAUUAAGCACUCCGCCUGGGGAGUACGGUCCCAGACUGAACUCAAAGGAAUUGACGGGGGCCCGCACAAGCGGUGAGCAUGGUGGUUUAAUUCGAAGCAACGCGAAGAACC
Molecule: ribosomal RNA, 947 nt
Filed under: uncultured prokaryote
Description: bacterial SSU rRNA
Rfam family: Bacterial small subunit ribosomal RNA
Source: RNAcentral